ACACGUAGGGGGCGAGCGUUGUCCGGAUUUAUUGGGCGUAAAGAGCUCGUAGGCUGUUGAGUAAGUCAGCUGUUAAAGCUCCAGGCUCAACCUGGAGAGGCCAGUUGAUACUGCUCUGACUAGAGUCCGGUAGGGGAGUGCGGAAUUCCUGGUGUAGCGGUGGAAUGCGCAGAUAUCAGGAGGAACACCGAUGGCGAAGGCAGCACUCUGGGCCGGUACUGACGCUGAGGAGCGAAAGCGUGGGUAGCAAACAGGAUUAGAUACCCUGGUAGUCCACGCCGUAAACGUUGGGCACUAGGUGUGGGGCCUUAUCAACAGGUUCCGUGCCGUAGCUAACGCAUUAAGUGCCCCGCCUGGGGAGUACGGCCGCAAGGCUAAA
Molecule: ribosomal RNA, 379 nt
Filed under: uncultured bacterium
Lineage: Bacteria
Description: bacterial SSU rRNA
Rfam family: Bacterial small subunit ribosomal RNA
Source: RNAcentral